UGCAAGUGAGCAUACAAUUUGAAUUUAAAGU
Molecule: non-coding RNA, 31 nt
Filed under: Mus musculus (house mouse)
Lineage: Eukaryota; Metazoa; Chordata; Mammalia; Rodentia; Muridae
Source: RNAcentral